UGGGGGAUAUUGCACAAUGGGGGAAACCCUGAUGCAGCGACGCCGCGUGAGUGAAGAAGUAAUUCGUUACGUAAAGCUCUAUCAGCAGGGAAGAAAAUGACGGUACCUGACUAAGAAGCCCCGGCUAACUACGUGCCAGCAGCCGCGGUAAUACGUAGGGGGCAAGCGUUAUCCGGAAUUACUGGGUGUAAAGGGAGCGCAGACGGCAGUGCAAGUCUGGAGUGAAAGCCCGUGGCUUAACUACGGGACUGCUCUGGAAACUGUGCAGCUAGAGUGCAGGAGAGGCAGGCGGAAUUCCUAGUGUAGCGGUGAAAUGCGUAGAUAUUAGGAGGAACACCGGUGGCGAAGGCGGCCUGCUGGACUGUAACUGACGUUGAGGCUCGAAAGCGUGGGGAGCAAACAGG
RNAcentral lists this ribosomal RNA (404 nucleotides) under uncultured bacterium. RNAcentral describes it as "bacterial SSU rRNA". It matches the Rfam family "Bacterial small subunit ribosomal RNA", at positions 355 to 776 of the family's 1533-position model. The record is from RNAcentral.